Molecule: ribosomal RNA, 1507 nt
Filed under: Helicobacter pylori SouthAfrica7
Lineage: Bacteria; Pseudomonadati; Campylobacterota; Epsilonproteobacteria; Campylobacterales; Helicobacteraceae
Description: 16S ribosomal RNA
Rfam family: Bacterial small subunit ribosomal RNA
Source: RNAcentral
CUUUUAUGGAGAGUUUGAUCCUGGCUCAGAGUGAACGCUGGCGGCGUGCCUAAUACAUGCAAGUCGAACGAUGAAAUUUCUAGCUUGCUAGAAGUGGAUUAGUGGCGCACGGGUGAGUAACGCAUAGGUUAUGUGCCUCUUAGUUUGGGAUAGCCAUUGGAAACGAUGAUUAAUACCAGAUACUCCCUACGGGGGAAAGAUUUAUCGCUAAGAGAUCAGCCUAUGUCCUAUCAGCUUGUUGGUAAGGUAAUGGCUUACCAAGGCUAUGACGGGUAUCCGGCCUGAGAGGGUGAACGGACACACUGGAACUGAGACACGGUCCAGACUCCUACGGGAGGCAGCAGUAGGGAAUAUUGCUCAAUGGGGGAAACCCUGAAGCAGCAACGCCGCGUGGAGGAUGAAGGUUUUAGGAUUGUAAACUCCUUUUGUUAGAGAAGAUAAUGACGGUAUCUAACGAAUAAGCACCGGCUAACUCCGUGCCAGCAGCCGCGGUAAUACGGAGGGUGCAAGCGUUACUCGGAAUCACUGGGCGUAAAGAGCGCGUAGGCGGGAUAGUCAGUCAGGUGUGAAAUCCUAUGGCUUAACCAUAGAACUGCAUUUGAAACUACUAUUCUAGAGUGUGGGAGAGGUAGGUGGAAUUCUUGGUGUAGGGGUAAAAUCCGUAGAGAUCAAGAGGAAUACUCAUUGCGAAGGCGACCUGCUGGAACAUUACUGACGCUGAUUGCGCGAAAGCGUGGGGAGCAAACAGGAUUAGAUACCCUGGUAGUCCACGCCCUAAACGAUGGAUGCUAGUUGUUGGAGGGCUUAGUCUCUCCAGUAAUGCAGCUAACGCAUUAAGCAUCCCGCCUGGGGAGUACGGUCGCAAGAUUAAAACUCAAAGGAAUAGACGGGGACCCGCACAAGCGGUGGAGCAUGUGGUUUAAUUCGAAGAUACACGAAGAACCUUACCUAGGCUUGACAUUGAGAGAAUCCGCUAGAAAUAGUGGAGUGUCUAGCUUGCUAGACCUUGAAAACAGGUGCUGCACGGCUGUCGUCAGCUCGUGUCGUGAGAUGUUGGGUUAAGUCCCGCAACGAGCGCAACCCCCUUUCUUAGUUGCUAACAGGUCAUGCUGAGAACUCUAAGGAUACUGCCUCCGUAAGGAGGAGGAAGGUGGGGACGACGUCAAGUCAUCAUGGCCCUUACGCCUAGGGCUACACACGUGCUACAAUGGGGUGCACAAAGAGAAGCAAUACUGCGAAGUGGAGCCAAUCUUCAAAACACCUCUCAGUUCGGAUUGUAGGCUGCAACUCGCCUGCAUGAAGCUGGAAUCGCUAGUAAUCGCAAAUCAGCCAUGUUGCGGUGAAUACGUUCCCGGGUCUUGUACUCACCGCCCGUCACACCAUGGGAGUUGUGUUUGCCUUAAGUCAGGAUGCUAAAUUAGCUACUGCCCACGGCACACACAGCGACUGGGGUGAAGUCGUAACAAGGUAACCGUAGGUGAACCUGCGGUUGGAUCACCUCCUUUCU